RNAcentral lists this long non-coding RNA (523 nucleotides) under Gallus gallus (chicken). RNAcentral's name for it is "long non-coding RNA NONGGAT001188". The record is from RNAcentral. Lineage: Eukaryota; Metazoa; Chordata; Aves; Galliformes; Phasianidae.
AAUGGCAUCCUGGCUUGUAUCAGAAAUAGUGUGGCCAGCAGGAACAGGGAAGUAAUUGUCCCCCUGUACUCAGCACUGGUGAGGCCGCACCUCAAGUACUGUGCCCAGGUUUGGGCCCCUCACUGUAAGAAAGACAUCGAGGCCCUGGAGCGUGUCCAGAGGAGGGCAAACAAAGCUGGUGAGGGGUCUGGAGCACAGACCUUAUGAAGAGCGGCUGAAGGAGCUGGGGUUGUUCUCUCUAGAGAAGAGGAGGCUCAGGGGAGACCUUAUUGCUCUCUAUAACUACCUGAAGGGAGGCUGUAGUGAGCUGGGGGUCAGCCUCUUCUCUCGUGUGACUAGUGAUAGGACGAGAGGGAAUGGCUUCAAGCUGCGUCAGGGAAGAUUCAGGCUGGACGUUAGGAAAUACUACUUCUCUGAAAGGGUGGUCAGGCACUGGAACGGGCUGCCCAGAGAGGUGGUGGAGUCACCGACCCUGGUGGUGUUCAAAGAGCGUUUGGAUGUUGUGUUGAGGGACAUGGUUUAG